This 329-nucleotide unclassified non-coding RNA is filed under the name Hevea brasiliensis (rubber tree). Lineage: Eukaryota; Viridiplantae; Streptophyta; Magnoliopsida; Malpighiales; Euphorbiaceae. The record is from RNAcentral.
CUGCCGGCUAAGUUCAAGUCGAUGCUCGUACCGGGGAAGAUCCAGCACAUCAUAUGCACGGGGAAUCUUUGUAUUAAGGAGGUGCAUGAUUAUUUGAAAAGCCUUUGCCCUGAUCUGCAUAUCACCCGAGGAGAAUAUGAUGAGGAUGCUCGAUAUCCAGAGACCAAGACUCUGACUAUUGGUCAGUUCAAGCUUGGACUCUGUCACGGCCAUCAGGUUGUGCCAUGGGGUGACUUGGAUUCCUUGGCCAUGCUUCAGAGGCAGCUGGACGUUGACAUCCUUGUAACAGGACACACCCAUCAGUUCAAGGCCUACAAGCAUGAGGGCGG